GAUGAAGAACGCAGCGAAAUGCGAUAAGUAAUGUGAAUUGCAGAAUUCAGUGAAUCAUCGAAUCUUUGAACGCACAUUGCGCCCCUUGGUAUUCCGAGGGGCAUGCCUGUUCGAGCGUCAUUAUAACCCCUCAAGCUCAGCUUGGUGUUGGGGCCUGCUGCACUGGCAGCCCUUAAAAUCAGUGGCGGCGCCAUCUGGCUCUAAGCGUAGUAAUUCUUCUCGCUAUGGAGUCCUGGUGGAUGCUUGCCAUCAACCCCCAAUUUUUCUAUGGUUGACCUCGGAUCAGGUAGGGAUACCCGCUGAACUUAAGCAUAUCAUAAGCGGAGGA
This 328-nucleotide unclassified non-coding RNA is filed under the name soil metagenome. RNAcentral describes it as "partial contains 5.8S ribosomal RNA, internal transcribed spacer 2, and large subunit ribosomal RNA". The stretch from base 1 to 120 matches the Rfam family "5.8S ribosomal RNA", at positions 35 to 154 of the family's 154-position model. The record is from RNAcentral.